This 775-nucleotide ribosomal RNA is filed under the name uncultured Neocallimastigales. RNAcentral's name for it is "partial large subunit ribosomal RNA". It matches the Rfam family "Eukaryotic large subunit ribosomal RNA", at positions 26 to 627 of the family's 3401-position model. Lineage: Eukaryota; Fungi; Neocallimastigomycota; Neocallimastigomycetes; Neocallimastigales. The record is from RNAcentral.
CGUCUAUAUACGUAUAGCAUAUCAAUAAGCGGAGGAAAAGAAACUAACUAGGAUUCCCUCAGUAACGGCGAGUGAAGCGGGAAGAGCUCAAAUUUGAAAUCUUCAAGGUUCUACCUUGACGAGUUGUAGUUUAAAGAAGUGUUUUCUGUUGGAGUUUUGGUAAAAGUUCUUUGGAAUAGGACAUCAUAGAGGGUGAGAAUCCCGUAUUUGACCAUUAUUUCCAGCUUUGUGAUACACUUUCAAAGAGUCGGAUUGUUUGGGAAUGCAGUCCAAAAUGGGUGGUAAAUUUCAUCUAAAGCUAAAUACUGGCGAGAGACCGAUAGCGAACAAGUACCGUGAGGGAAAGAUGAAAAGAACUUUGAAAAGAGAGUUAAACAGUACGUGAAAUUGUCAAAAGGGAAGCGUUUGACACCAGUGUUGUUUUCUCGAAAAUCAAUUAAAAAUGGUGGGAUUUUGUGUUGUAUUGACUUUAUCAGCUUUCUGCACUUUUUUCCUGUCUUUUUUAAUGCACUUUUCGUUUAACAAGUCAACAUCAAUUUCUUUUGUUGUAAAAGGGUCAUUGGAAGGUGGCUUUCUUUUCGGAGAAAGUGUUUAUAGCCUUUGACCUCUGCAAUCGGAGAGAUUGAGGUCUGCAGCGUAGAUCCUUCGGGGUUAGAUACAUUUGUGCUAAGCUAUAGCCUUUCAUAGACAACUUGAUGACUAUGAUCAGUCAUGUAGCUUACUCGCUUAUGUCUAUUUUACCUACGCUUAGGAUGUUGACGAUCAGCUGAGCGCG